Molecule: transfer RNA, 72 nt
Filed under: Loxodonta africana (African savanna elephant)
Lineage: Eukaryota; Metazoa; Chordata; Mammalia; Proboscidea; Elephantidae
Rfam family: tRNA
About the family: Transfer RNA (tRNA) molecules are approximately 80 nucleotides in length. Their secondary structure includes four short double-helical elements and three loops (D, anti-codon, and T loops).
Source: Rfam by way of RNAcentral
GCCCUGGUGGCAGAACAAUUAAGCGUUUGGCUGCCGACCUAAAGGUUGGUGGUUCAAACCCAUCCAGAGGCU